Molecule: long non-coding RNA, 627 nt
Filed under: Homo sapiens (human)
Lineage: Eukaryota; Metazoa; Chordata; Mammalia; Primates; Hominidae
Description: HSALNT0336361
Source: RNAcentral
UGAUCUUGGAAAGAGAAGGGUCACAGAGCGGUGUGACCUCACAAAGCUUGUAUAUUAUUGAAGAGAGGCUUUUUUAUAUCACCACAUCUCAACUAACACCUCAGUGUUUGUUGGAAGACAUCAUGUAUGUAGUUUUAAAAAUACUAAGUGUCAAAUGAGUGACACAGAACACUCUGUCAUAUCACAGUGCUUUGUGGAUAGAGACAAGGUGGCAUAUGCUAAUAGAAUAUAUUGAUAUUUAUCUUCUUAAAUAUCCAUCUCAUUCUCCCUGAUAGCAUGGGAAGCCUUGCAAGGAUUGUCCUGCCGUUCUUUCAAGCCCUAGCUCUUGGCACAUUGUAGACACAGAUAACUCUGUGCUUUAUGACUGCAGUUGUCAGUUCAACCACAGAGCGUUCAGAGCAGAGAAAGUCUCUGGGGGUUACAUGCAAGGGACUUGAAGUUGGGAAAAAGGCUUUGAAAAAAUGAAGGAGAAAGAUGAAAUGUAUUCCAGGAAACUGGGGAGGGAAUCAUGUUCCAGCAGUGAAGAACAAAGGCAGUUUUUUGGGGAUUUACAUACGCCAUCUCCUACAAAGUUAAAAAAUUUUCUUUUCCUGAAAGACUACAAUCAAGAUACAAACAUGUACAAUG